RNAcentral lists this ribosomal RNA (529 nucleotides) under uncultured bacterium. RNAcentral describes it as "bacterial SSU rRNA". It matches the Rfam family "Bacterial small subunit ribosomal RNA", at positions 777 to 1308 of the family's 1533-position model. The record is from RNAcentral.
AAUAGAUACCCAGGUAGUCCACGCCGUAAACGAUGAGUGCUAGGUGUUAGGGGGUCCAACCCUUAGUGCCGAAGUUAACACAUUAAGCACUCCGCCUGGGGAGUACGGUCGCAAGACUGAAACUCAAAGGAAUUGACGGGGGCCCGCACAAGCGGUGGAGCAUGUGGUUUAAUUCGAAGCAACGCGAAGAACCUUACCAGGGCUUGACAUCCCUCUGACCGUUCUAGAGAUAGAGCUUCCCUUCGGGGCAGAGGUGACAGGUGGUGCAUGGUUGUCGUCAGCUCGUGUCGUGAGAUGUUGGGUUAAGUCCCGCAACGAGCGCAACCCUUGUCCUUAGUUGCCAGCAUUCAGUUGGGCACUCUAGGGAGACUGCCGGUGACAAACCGGAGGAAGGUGGGGAUGACGUCAAAUCAUCAUGCCCCUUAUGUCCUGGGCUACACACGUGCUACAAUGGCUGGUACAAAGGGUAGCAAAGCAGUGAUGUGGAGCCAAUCCCAAAAAGCCAGUCACAGUUCGGAUUGUAGGCUGC